Molecule: non-coding RNA, 78 nt
Organism: Picea glauca (white spruce)
Lineage: Eukaryota; Viridiplantae; Streptophyta; Pinopsida; Pinales; Pinaceae
Source: Rfam
UCAAGAUGAUGAAACAGUAAAAUCUGUCAAUCCACUGAAUACUCCAUGUGGCUUUCUAUCUCAACAGGUUCUGAUUGA